ACGGGUGAGUAACGCGUAUCCAACCUUCCCCUCAGUAGGGCAUAGCCCGUAGAAAUGCGGAUUAAUACCCUAUGCGGUCCGAUGAGGACAUCUGAGCUGGACGAAAGGUUUACCGCUGAGGGAUGGGGAUGCGUCUGAUUAGGUAGUCGGCGGGGUAACGGCCCACCGAGCCGUCGAUCAGUAGGGGUUCUGAGAGGAAGGUCCCCCACACUGGUACUGAGACACGGACCAGACUCCUACGGGAGGCAGCAGUGAGGAAUAUUGGUCAAUGGGCGAGAGCCUGAACCAGCCAAGUAGCGUGCAGGAUGACGGCCCUACGGGUUGUAAACUGCUUUUAUGCGGGGAUAAAGUGAGGGACUUGUCCCUUUUUGCAGGUACCGCAUGAAUAAGGACCGGCUAAUUCCGUGCCAGCAGCCGCGGUAAUACGGAAGGUCCAGGCGUUAUCCGGAUUUAUUGGGUUUAAAGGGAGCGCAGGCCGGUGUGUAAGCGUGACGUCAAAUACAGCCGCUCAACGGUUGUCCGCGUCGCGAACUGCAUGCCUUGAGUACGCUGCAAGUGGGCGGAAUUCGUGGUGUAGCGGUGAAAUGCUUAGAUAUCACGAAGAACUCCGAUUGCGAAGGCAGCCCGCUGUUGCGUCACUGACGCUGAGGCUCGAAGGUGCGGGUAUCGAACAGGAUUAGAUACCCUGGUAGUCCGCACUGUAAACGAUGGACACCCGCUGUGUGGCCUGUUAUUGGUUGCGCGGCCAAGCGAAAGCAUUAAGUGUCCCACCUGGGGAGUACGCCGGCAACGGUGAAACUCAAAGGAAUUGACGG
RNAcentral lists this ribosomal RNA (815 nucleotides) under uncultured bacterium. RNAcentral's name for it is "bacterial SSU rRNA". It matches the Rfam family "Bacterial small subunit ribosomal RNA", at positions 102 to 916 of the family's 1533-position model. The record is from RNAcentral.